This 840-nucleotide ribosomal RNA is filed under the name Myroides odoratimimus. RNAcentral describes it as "bacterial SSU rRNA". It matches the Rfam family "Bacterial small subunit ribosomal RNA", at positions 660 to 1510 of the family's 1533-position model. Lineage: Bacteria; Pseudomonadati; Bacteroidota; Flavobacteriia; Flavobacteriales; Flavobacteriaceae. The record is from RNAcentral.
AUCGAAAUAUUGUAGGUGAGGCGUGGAAUUCUAAGAUAUUAACAUGGAAUACCCAUGGGGAAGGCAGGUUACUACGUACUUAUUGACGCUGAUGACGAAAGCGUGGUAGCGAACAGGAUUAGAAUACCUGGUAGUCCACGCGUAAACGAUGAUACUAGCUGUUCGGUUUUCCGAACUGAGUGGCUAAAGCGAAAGUGAUAAAGUAUCCCACCUGGGGAGUACGUUCGCAAGAAUGAAACUCAAAGGAAUUGACGGGGGCCCGCACAAGCGGUGGAGCAUGUGGUUUAAUUUCGAUGAUACGCGAGGAACCUUACCCAGGGCUUAAAUGUAGAUUGACAGGUUUGGAAACAGACUUUUCUUCGGACAAUUUACAAGGUGCUGCAUGGUUGUCGUCAGCUCGUGCCGUGAGGUGUCAGGUUAAGUCCUAUAACGAGCGCAACCCCUAUUGUUAGUUACCAUCGCGUUAAGGCGGGGACUCUAGCAAGACUGCCGGUGCAAACCGAGAGGAAGGUGGGGAUGACGUCAAAUCAUCACGGCCCUUACGUCCUGGGCUACACACGUGCUACAAUGGCAAGUACAGAAAGCAGCUACCUGGCAACAGGAUGCGAAUCUCCAAAGCUUGUCUCAGUUCGGAUUGGAGUCUGCAACUCGACUCUAUGAAGCUGGAAUCGCUAGUAAUCGGAUAUCAGCCAUGAUCCGGUGAAUACGUUCCCGGGCCUUGUACACACCGCCCGUCAAGCCAUGGAAGCUGGGGGUACCUGAAGUCGGUGACCGCAAGGAGCUGCCUAGGGUAAAACUAGUGACGGGGGCUAAGUUGUAUAGUAGGUGCCCGUGCAGACC